Molecule: ribosomal RNA, 496 nt
Filed under: uncultured bacterium
Lineage: Bacteria
Description: partial 16S ribosomal RNA
Rfam family: Bacterial small subunit ribosomal RNA
Source: RNAcentral
AUGAACGCUGGCGGCGUGCCUAAUACAUGCAAGUCGAGCGAACGGACGAGAAGCUUGCUUUUCUGAUGUUAGCGGCGGACGGGUGAGUAACACGUGGAUAACCUACCUAUAAGACUGGGAUAACUUCGGGAAACCGGAGCUAAUACCGGAUAAUAUUUUGAACCGCAUGGUUCAUAAGUGAAAGACGGUCUUGCUGUCACUUAUAGAUGGAUCCGCGCUGCAUUAGCUAGUUGGUAAGGUAACGGCUUACCAAGGCAACGAUGCAUAGCCGACCUGAGAGGGUGAUCGGCCACACUGGAACUGAGACACGGUCCAGACUCCUACGGGAGGCAGCAGUAGGGAAUCUUCCGCAAUGGGCGAAAGCCUGACGGAGCAACGCCGCGUGAGCGAUGAAGGUCUUCGGAUCGUAAAACUCUGUUAUUAGGGAAGAACAUAUGUGUAAGUAACUGUGCACAUCUUGACGGUACCUAAUCAGAAAGCCACGGCUAACUACGUG